ACGAAGCCACUCGGGUUAAUAGCCCAGAGGGUGACGGUACCUCCAGAAGAAGCCCCGGCUAACUACGUGCCAGCAGCCGCGGUAAUACGUAGGGGGCUAGCGUUGUCCGGAUUUAUUGGGCGUAAAGAGCGUGUAGGCGGCUAGGUAGGUCCGUUGUGAAAACUCGAGGCUCAACCUCGAGACGUCGAUGGAAACCAUCUGGCUAGAGUCCGGAAGAGGAGAGUGGAAUUCCUGGUGUAGCGGUGAAAUGCGCAGAUAUCAGGAAGAACACCCGUGGCGAAGGCGGCUCUCUGGUACGUGACUGACGCUGAGACGCGAAAGCGUGGGGAGCGAACAGGAUUAGAUACCCUGGUAGUCCACGCCGUAAACGAUGGGUGCUAGGUGUGGGCGGUGUCGACUCCGUCCGUGCCGAAGCUAACGCAUUAAGCACCCCGCCUGGGGAGUACGGCCGCAAGGCUAAAACUCAAAGGAAUUGACGGGGGCCCGCACAAGCAGCGGAGCAUGUUGUUUAAUUCGACGCGACGCGAAGAACCUUACCAGGGCUUGACAUGCACGGGAAUGUCGUAGAAAUACGGCAGCCCUUCGGGGCUCGUGCACAGGUGGUGCAUGGCUGUCGUCAG
RNAcentral lists this ribosomal RNA (620 nucleotides) under uncultured bacterium. Its description in RNAcentral is "bacterial SSU rRNA". It matches the Rfam family "Bacterial small subunit ribosomal RNA", at positions 445 to 1058 of the family's 1533-position model. The record is from RNAcentral.